Molecule: long non-coding RNA, 1331 nt
Filed under: Anolis carolinensis (green anole)
Lineage: Eukaryota; Metazoa; Chordata; Lepidosauria; Squamata; Anolidae
Description: lncRNA (ENSACAG00000044391.1)
Source: RNAcentral
CCAGACAGGCCCUAUAUCCCAGGAUGUGAUCCUAGGUUUUCUGCUUUAAACAGGAUUAUAUGCACACCCACUGCCAGAUAAUCUGGGAUAAACAGAAAACCUGGGAUUAGAUCCUGGGAUAUUGGGCCUGCCUGGAAGGGCCCCUUGGCACCAUUCACACAGCUGAAUAAAAUCCUACAUUUUCUACUUUGAACUGGAAUACAUGGCAGUGUGGACUCAGAUAACCCAGUUCAAGGUAGAUAUUGUGGGAUUUUCUGCCUUGAUAUUCUGGGUUAUAUGGCUGUGUGGAAGGGCCCUGGGUCCACACUGCCAUAUCUUGCAGGUCAAAGCAGAAAAUGUGGAAUUUUAUUCAGCUGUGUAGGAGGCUCAGGGCCCUUCCACACAGCCCUAUAACUCAGAAUAUCAAAGCAGAAAAUCCCACAUUAUCUGAGUGUGGACUCUGAUAACCCUGUUCAAAGCCGAUAUUGUGGAAUUUUCUGCCUUGAUAUUCUGGGAUAUAGGGCUGUGUGGAAGGGCCCUCAGUCUUCGUAUGAAUUUGUAUUCAGUGCGUAUGCGCCCCCAAGCCAUGCCUCCAAUCUGGACCCUAACAACAGGGAACGUCUAAUCUCCGCAAGAGAGAGUCUGCCGCUCUAUAAUUGCUAGCUCUAUGUACUCCCCGGCCUUUCUUCUUCCGGUCCUCUGCUCACUACUUCCCUUGCUGGAGUUCCUGGUUAUGUUUCCGAGGGAAGCGGAAGUUUUUUUGUUUUGGUAGCGCUGGGCCUUGUGGGAAGGCCGGCGUCGCCUUGCGCCCAGGCCAGCAGCCAGAGAGGGAGUGAGCGCGGAGGAGGAGGAGGAGGAGAGGCACGGGAUGGCCGCGAAGGCCCGCUCCGGUCGCUGUUCCUAACGAGGCCGUGUGGCCAAGGGAGGGAAUAUUUUUCCCGGCUUUUACAAAUGUUGAAAUUCUUGCAAGAUUGUGAUAAUUCAAAUAAUUGUGUUGAAGCAGUGUGCUCUCAGAAGACUGUUGCCCCCCUCCCCCAAAUCUUGAGUUUCCCUUUUGCAAAUAACACUCUUAGUACUCCUUGCAUACUUUUACAGUUGCUGUGCAAAGAUAAUUCAUAUUGCCUUCAAUUAGAGAACACAAGAACAGCACAAUUAAGAAAGGGAAUCCUAUUUAAUGGAUUCACAUAUAAUGAUAACAUUUAACAGGCCCUAAAAGAUAGAGAACUUACAGUCUUUAAAAGCUGCUUUUGAGAUAUAGUUAAAAUGGUAAUUUAUUCAAACAGAGGAACAGUUUUCUACCCAUGUCUACAAAAUAGAUAAGCCUAUAAAAUAGUUAAGCCUGUUCUUGCUAG